GUCCGCACCGGGGCGCCCUGCGCACACCCUUACCGCCCGGCGGCGUCCGCCGACCCCGGAGUCCUGGCCCGGGGCGCGGGAGUCCGGAGGGCAGGACCGGGACGCUCGCGCUGGCCUCCCGUGCGGUGGCGUGCGUGAGCGUCCCUUCCACUUCGGCAGCCCGCACCGCCUCCGUAGCCUCCCAGGUCUGGCCUCCUGCCCCCCUCCGAGCCCCACCGCGCGCCGACCCGGAUCCCGGGCGCCUCACGGCGCGGCUGCCAGCUGGGCCUGGCGCCGAGGCUCGGGCCCCCAAGUUGUGGGAGGACGCCGGGCCUGUUGACACUUCCCUCGGACUCGGGGGAAGACUGUUACCAGAGGAGCCUCCUUCGGCACGAGCCUCGUCGCUGCCGCCUCGGGAAGGGAGGAGAGCGCAGCCGACCGGUGGCCUGACGCGGUCGCAUCACAGGUGUCUCAGUGGCCGCGCGCUUGGAGCAGGUCACAGACGUGCGCGCGGCGGCGAUCCGGGCUUCCCUGCGAGGCCGAGGCCCAGGCCGGCGGCCCGGUGCGUGGCGGGCGGCGAGGGGGCGCUGUGGCCCGCGACUGCGGCCUGCUGGGCUCCGCGCAGGGCAGGGCUCGCGUGGGAGAAGGAAGACACCGCGAGCGCUUCGGACCCGGCCGCUCCCACCGCUUCUGUUACUCUGGCCUUCCUUGGAGUACCCCGGGAGAACGCAGCUCUGCGUGCAGCAGCCCUCGUGCAUUCCUGCUUCCGGACGCCAGAGCGCACCUCAGUGCAGGCCAGUGCAGCGCCCUGCUGCGGCACCGCGGGCCAUCCCCGGAGCAGCAGGCCACCUCCCAGGCCAGCGCCCCCUCCUUGGAGGCUUCAACCUCAAGACUCUUGUGCUGCUGCCUCCUGGCUGCUGAGGCAGCCACUUCCAGGGACGCUGGCUCUCCCUUCCUGCCCCCCACCCUGCCCGGCACGCUUGGCACUGUGGGCAUAGGACAGGCACCGAGCAGAUGCAUGGACGCAUGUGUGACUGGCCCUUGGCAACUCACCUUUCUGCCAAAAGCGAUAGCAGGGCUUGUGGGUGAGAAACAACGAUGACGUGGACGCCUGCGUACAGUCCCCACUGCCUGCUGCUCCGGCGGCCUCCCCACACCUGGUCAUUGCUACGUUUCCAUCUGAUGUUUUCCGGAUGACCCCCACAGCCUCAGGACAUCUUCAGUGGGGCUGCAGGGAGGCGACUGCAUUGUGGGGGCUGAUGGCUGGCUUGCUGUUGGGAGGGGCCGUUGGAGGACACAGGUCACUGGGGGCGUGGCCCAGAAGGGUCUGCCUUCCUCCCUCAUCUCCCUGCUUCAUCUACACCCCUGCCACGAGCAGCUCUCCUCUGCCAGGCCCCUCUGGCCUGCACCCUGCCCUCGGAGCCAGCUGACUAUGGACUGAAGCCUCCACAGACUGGGAACCGACAUAAACCUCUCCUUAUAGUUGAGGCUGUCCAGUGUCGUGUUCUAGCAACAAAACAGGUGACUAAGACAGUCACGGCCACUGCAAGGAAGCCGGUCCAAGCACAUCACUCCUUGGCAGCCCCAAGUUUUAAGACCAACAGAUACAGACAUUUAAAAUCACAUUUAAUUCUAAAAUUCCCGCUUGGCAAUCCAAUCUUGGAGGACAGGAAUUGCCCCUGACCUUCCUGCCCCCAGCACAUGGCUGUGAACUGAGUGAAUGAUGAAGCUGCAUGUUGACAUUUGGGAAGAGGAAACUUAAGAGCAAACCGGACUUGGAGGAUAUUUUCAAUACAAAUUCAGAGCGGGCCUGUGUUAGAAACCAAUGUAAAAAAGUCAUGUAGGCCCCAGCAAGGUUUUCAUAGACUGCGUGAGCUUAUGCUUAAGUAAGCAUGCAAAAGCUAAGGCUUCAGAAGAGCUCAAAGAGCUUUUAAGCAGCAGAAGAGAGUGGGAGGACUCAGCCUACCUGACCCUGAGAUGAGUGGAUGUCAACAUGAGGAUCGGUUUGUGGUGGAGGGUGGACACAGGCCAGCAGAGCAGAGCGGACAACCCAGAGGGGCCUGUGCUCACGGGGGCCCCAUUAGUUAUUUCCUAGCUCUGGGUUUGAGCCCAGGGCGUCACACCUGCGAGGUCCGGCCUCCAUCACUGAGCCCGCCCCCAGCCCCAUUUGCUUUUGCGGGGGAGGGAUUCAGCCUUUUAGCAACUGGAGCUGGAGCAAAGGGGCAACACUAAGACAGCAAGUUUUACAAAAGAGUUUCUUCACACAGCCAGGCGUGGAGGAGGAGAGCCAGGCUCAGCCUCCUCCCAGAGGGCAGGGCUUAGGGACAUUCAUGGAAGGAGUAGGAUGGCCUAAGGCGUGGGGAGGCCAGGGGCACAGGGGAGGUUGGCGGUGGGCUGCACGGCUCCUCAGAGGACACACGUCUGGAUAACACGGCACUGACAGAGCAGAGGGUGCAGCUCUUGACCCCUGGGUGUUGAAGAAGUCAUCUGUGACCCUGCACAGCCCCAUGCUCAGAGCUGGGGCCCUGCCAAAGUAGCCGGGCAGCCCAGAUGCCCAUUGCCUACCCCCAGCUGGUCACCUGCAGAGGAGGUGGCUGGUCAGUGACACCAUGCGCAUCUUCCUGACCUCCAAAAUGCAAGACUUUCAAAGUCACCUAAAAGCAAGUAACAAUGCAAGUGUCCCUCAGUUUCAGACCUGCAGUUCCCUGCUUGACCGCCGGACCCUGCUCCUGAAGAGAGGAGUCGCUGGGUGCGGCCUCUCAAUGUCAGGCGUCUUUGCAGAGAGCCGCCCUCCCGGAGAGGUGCUCACGGGGGCCUGGACCUGGCCUACGUCCCUGCCGGUGAGCGGCACUGUGUGCAGGUGGACUGCGCUUCAUCACCCUUUGGCUGCUUUAGACUUGUGAGCUGUUCCCAGUGCUCGGGCUGUUUUGGAAAACAGACGAACACUGCUUUGACUUCUUAGUGCAGCCCUCUAUGACAACUUUUCAUUCAUCCUGGGUGAAACCCUAGGAGUGGAGCAG
This 2999-nucleotide long non-coding RNA is filed under the name Heterocephalus glaber (naked mole-rat). RNAcentral's name for it is "lncRNA (ENSHGLG00100041512.1)". Lineage: Eukaryota; Metazoa; Chordata; Mammalia; Rodentia; Bathyergidae. The record is from RNAcentral.